GACGAACGCUGGCGGCGUGCUUAACACAUGCAAGUCGAACGGGGCGCCUUGGGAGCUUGCUCUCGGGGUUGCCUAGUGGCGGACGGGUGCGUAACGCGUGAACAAUCUGUCCCUUUGAGGGGAAUAACAACUGGAAACAGUUGCUAAUACCGCAUAGGACCACAGCACCGCAUGGUGCAGGGGUGAAAGGUCGCAAGACCGCAGAGGGGUGAGUUCGCGUCCCAUUAGCUAGUUGGUGAGGUAACGGCCCACCAAGGCAACGAUGGGUAGCCGAUCUGAGAGGAUGACCGGCCACACUGGAACUGAGAAACGGUCCAGACUCCUACGGGAGGCAGCAGUGGGGAAUAUUGGGCAAUGGGCGAAAGCCUGACCCAGCAACGCCGCGUGAGGGAAGAAGGCUUUCGGGUCGUAAACCUCUGUCGCAGGGGAUGAAAAAAAUGACAGUACCCUGUGAGGAAGCUCCGGCUAACUACGUGCCAGCCGCCGCCGUAACAC
RNAcentral lists this ribosomal RNA (495 nucleotides) under uncultured bacterium. Its description in RNAcentral is "bacterial SSU rRNA". It matches the Rfam family "Bacterial small subunit ribosomal RNA", at positions 28 to 526 of the family's 1533-position model. The record is from RNAcentral.